GAUGAACGCUGGCGGCGUGCCUAAUACAUGCAAGUCGAGCGAACGGACGAGAAGCUUGCUUCUCUGAUGUUAGCGGCGGACGGGUGAGUAACACGUGGAUAACCUACCUAUAAGACUGGGAUAACUUCGGGAAACCGGAGCUAAUACCGGAUAAUAUUUUGAACCGCAUGGUUCAAAAGUGAAAGACGGUCUUGCUGUCACUUAUAGAUGGAUCCGCGCUGCAUUAGUUAGUUGGUAAGGUAACGGCUUACCAAGGCAACGAUGCAUAGCCGACCUGAGAGGGUGAUCGGCCACACUGGAACUGAGACACGGUCCAGACUCCUACGGGAGGCAGCAGUAGGGAAUCUUCCGCAAUGGGCGAAAGCCUGACGGAGCAACGCCGCGUGAGUGAUGAAGGUCUUCGGAUCGUAAAACUCUGUUAUUAGGGAAGAACAUAUGUGUAAGUAACUGUGCACAUCUUGACGGUACCUAAUCAGAAAGCCACGGCUAUCUACGUG
RNAcentral lists this ribosomal RNA (497 nucleotides) under uncultured bacterium. Its description in RNAcentral is "partial 16S ribosomal RNA". It matches the Rfam family "Bacterial small subunit ribosomal RNA", at positions 28 to 507 of the family's 1533-position model. The record is from RNAcentral.